AUAUCGGCCCUCUUUGGGGCCACAAAACAUGGAUAGUUAAUUGUUU
Non-coding RNA from Hymenolepis diminuta, 46 nucleotides. NCBI's taxonomy places the organism in Eukaryota, Metazoa, Platyhelminthes, Cestoda, Cyclophyllidea, Hymenolepididae. The record is from Rfam.